This 82-nucleotide transfer RNA is filed under the name Pycnococcus provasolii. RNAcentral's name for it is "tRNA-Leu". It matches the Rfam family "tRNA". From Rfam's summary of the family: Transfer RNA (tRNA) molecules are approximately 80 nucleotides in length. Their secondary structure includes four short double-helical elements and three loops (D, anti-codon, and T loops). The record is from RNAcentral. RNAcentral also lists the same sequence under 1 other name. Lineage: Eukaryota; Viridiplantae; Chlorophyta; Pseudoscourfieldiophyceae; Pseudoscourfieldiales; Pycnococcaceae.
GUGUUUGUGGCGGAAUAGGUAGACGCAACGGUUUUAGGAGCCGUCGACUUUUGUUGUAAGAGUUCAAGUCUCUUCAAGCACA